UAGAAGAGACACGUGCAUUAUCACAUUCUCUGGCAUAAUGGCCCGUUUGUUGACAGUCCACACACAACGUUAGUAGGACGACCCGGGCUGGGGUCCAGGGGCGCUUGCCUCACCUUAAGGGCCUCAGUGAGUUGAUUAAGUUGCUCCUGCUGCUUAUGAACUAAAGCAGUCAAGGCUGCAAGUUGCUCAGCGAUGGAACUGCUAGGGGGGGCAAUCAACAUUACAAUGAACACCAGAGCUCUGCACAGCACAAAAAGGGGAAAUAAAAUGGCAUUUACCAUUAGCAGGGCUGCCCUCAUGUUCCCAUCCAAUAGCCUCCGCACGUACAUCGAGUAGGGACAGUGUGGAGUCAGCAUGGACCAGCCUCUUUAACUCCCUGCGAAGAUCUGAGCGCUGCACAUUCUCCACAAACUGGUCUUGCAACAGAAUAGAAGAGUUAGACAUUCUAUUAGGGGCACAAGCAACAGCUUUAUCCAUCAAGUAAUAUAGGGCAUGAGAAUACUCUUGCAGGGAUUCUCCCUCUAACUGGUUUCUAGAAAAGAAGUCUUCCUGCAAAGACACAAGACUUUGAACACCCAUAGAGAUCCUUUAAAAUUGUAAAAACACGGUCUGGGUCCUCACGUUCGAUACGUGGUCUAUACUUCAUUUUCAUCCAUAGCUUCACCCUCUAGAUGAUCAAAAAUGAAGCUGGCCUGAUCAUUGGGACCCAAAUGGCUAGCCCUCAUACUGGCCUGUACCUCCUCCACCCACUCAUCUACCCCAAUACCAUGGGUACCCCAGAACAUGGGGCACUUUCUCUCUCAUGGUAGGUAGAUGAUGCGUUCAUGGGCCGCAGUGCCCGCAGCUGCUUCCUGUAUCUGCGAUUGUCUGCCUGUAGCUGUCUCAGUGCUCCCUGAGGUCCUGCAGCUCCUCUGUCAUGGUGGAACACUCCAGCAAUCACCCACGUAAUCAGUCAGCAACCACGACCUCGACUCAGCAGUAGAUCCCGCAGCAUGCCAGCUGUUGCCUUGUCUUAAAGAAAAACAGGGGGAAAAGGAUGAAAAAGGGAAGGAAAAAAAGAAUGCUCCCUCAGCUAUGCUCUGCUCACAACAGCCAUCUACUCCAGACCACAAAAGGGGUAUAACCCUCCAGUACACCCAACUACAAAAACAACCACAAUAAACAAAAACUACAAUCGCCUCUGAUUGUGAACCAUCCUGCCGACAACGCCAGAAAAAGGGUGUAACCAAGUUAGGACUGGUGAGGGUCUUCUGAUUUCUUUUAACACUGAACCGACAACGCCACCUAGGGACUUUCACCCUAAGAAUGUCAACAAUCCUGCCUCUCAACAGAGGGUUUCCCCUACUAAACACAGGUACGUGCACAAAUGAAUACAGAGGCAUGUAUAGAAAAAUAUAAAUACAAUUUUAUUCUGGUACAAAAAUAUGUUCAGCACACAACACACACUAAUGUUAAUAUAAACGCAGUUAUUAGAAAUGGAAGUCACACAGGCCCUACGCAGCUAUGGAAGGGAGAAACCUGAUUACUGAGCCAGAGAACACAGCCACAACAACCUAAAGAUAAACACACAUGGGGAGAAACAAAACUAAACUCGAACCAAGCAGACUGAUACAAAACUAGGCAAAACGACUACAAACUAAAGGAAAGAAACAACAAAAUAAACAAGCCAAAACACAAUGCAGCAGAGGUAAAAUUGUAAUGAAACAAAGAAAUGUUUAACCACAAUCAAGCAACAGAACGAUAACAACAAGCAUAAACAAACAUUUUGGUUACCUCGGCUGUCCGACGCUACACGGGCAUGAAGCCGCCGAUAAGCACCGUCGGCGGACUCGGCACUGCAGCCACAGAAG
This is a long non-coding RNA of Amphiprion ocellaris (clown anemonefish), 1850 nucleotides long. The record is from Ensembl. NCBI's taxonomy places the organism in Eukaryota, Metazoa, Chordata, Actinopteri, Pomacentridae.